ACAAUGGAGAGUUUGAUCCUGGCUCAGGAUGAACGCUAGCGGGAGGCUUAACACAUGCAAGCCGAGGGGUAAAUGGGAGCUUGCUUCC
Molecule: ribosomal RNA, 88 nt
Filed under: Flavobacteriaceae bacterium
Lineage: Bacteria; Pseudomonadati; Bacteroidota; Flavobacteriia; Flavobacteriales; Flavobacteriaceae
Description: partial 16S ribosomal RNA
Rfam family: Bacterial small subunit ribosomal RNA
Source: RNAcentral